CCUACGGGAGGCAGCAGUGAGGAAUAUUGGUCAAUGGGCGCAAGCCUGAACCAGCCAAGUCGCGUGAGGGAUGACGGUCCUAUGGAUUGUAAACCUCUUUUGUCGGGGAGCAAGGCCCGCCACGUGUGGCGGGUAGGAGAGUACCCGAAGAAAAAGCAUCGGCUAACUCCGUGCCAGCAGCCGCGGUAAUAGGGAGGAUGCGAGCGUUACCCGGAUUUUUUGGUUUGAAAGGGUGGGUAGGCGGAAGGUUAAGUCAGCGGUCAAAUGUCGGUGGUCAACACCGGCCUGCCGUUGAAACUGGUCUUCUUGAGUGAGCGGGAAGUAUGCGGAAUGCGUGGUGUAGCGGUGAAAUGCAUAGAUAUCACGCAGAACUCCGAUUGCGAAGGCAGCAUGCCGGCGCUCAACUGACGCUGAGGCACGAAAGCGUGGGGAUCGAACAGGAUUAGAUACCCUGGUAGUC
Molecule: ribosomal RNA, 460 nt
Filed under: uncultured bacterium
Lineage: Bacteria
Description: partial 16S ribosomal RNA
Rfam family: Bacterial small subunit ribosomal RNA
Source: RNAcentral